AGAAAGGGAGAGACAGAGAGCAACAUCGACGUGAGAGAAACACAUCGAUUGGUUGCCUCCUGCUGGCGCCCUGACCAGGGCCCAGGCCAGGGAGGAGCCUGCAAUCAAGGCACGUGCCCUUGACUAGAGUUGAAUCCGGACCCAUUGGUCUGCAGGCCGAUGCUCUAUCCAUUGAGCAACACCAGCCAGGGCCAGGCACCAUGGCUAGCACCACAGCAGAACAAAGUCUGAAAGGGGAAGACAUUUGGGGUAAGAGGAACAGAGGAUGAAUGAACUCGUGAAUCUGUUGA
Myotis daubentonii (Daubenton's bat) is the source of this 290-nucleotide long non-coding RNA. RefSeq lists it as uncharacterized. NCBI's taxonomy places the organism in Eukaryota, Metazoa, Chordata, Mammalia, Chiroptera, Vespertilionidae. The record is from RefSeq and is a predicted model, not a curated record. The transcript has 2 exons.